RNAcentral lists this ribosomal RNA (376 nucleotides) under uncultured organism. RNAcentral describes it as "partial 16S ribosomal RNA". It matches the Rfam family "Bacterial small subunit ribosomal RNA", at positions 523 to 896 of the family's 1533-position model. The record is from RNAcentral.
CGGGGGGGGGGGCAAGCGUUGUUCGGAAUUACUGGGCGUAAAGGGCGCGUAGGCGGACCAGACAGUCUUUCGUGAAAUCCCACGGGCUCAACCGUGGAACUGCGGGAGAUACUACUGGCCUUGAGUUCGGGAGAGGAGUGUGGAAUUCCCAGUGUAGCGGUGAAAUGCGUAGAUAUUGGGAGGAACACCGGUGGCGAAGGCGGCACUCUGGACCGAUACUGACGCUGAGGCGCGAAAGCUAGGGGAGCAAACGGGAUUAGAUACCCCGGUAGUCCUAGCUGUAAACGAUGAGCACUUGGUGUAGCGGGUAUCGACCCCUGCUGUGCCGGAGUUAACGCAUUAAGUGCUCCGCCUGGGGAGUACGGUCGCAAGGCUG